ACGGUGGAAGAUUGGGUCGUCGACCUGCGUGUGCUACAAUACAUCGAUUUUGUGGUUUUCGGCGGAUUUCACAGGAUGGCCUUCACACCGAUAGAUCGAGCGCCAAUUAUUGCGCUCGUUGAGAGAUGGAGACAGGAGACUCACUCCUUCCAUCUACCAGUUGGGGAGGCCACCGUCACGCUCCGAGAUGUGGCGAUACUUACACGGCUCCCAAUACAUGGUAGGGUAGUUACAGGGCCCAUUAUACAGGACCCUCGUGGCCUUGUUGAGAGAAUGUUAGGGGUGAGGCUUGAGGCCACUGAUAUUAGAGGCAAAGGGCGUUACGAGAGACAUUUGGGGAGUUGCCUCCUGAUGCUGAUGAUGGGGUCGUCUAGAGAUACGCUCGAGCGUACCUGUUCAUGUUGAUAGGAUCAUUGUUUAGUAACAAGAGUGGUAGUCACAUAUAGUUGAUCUACCUACGGGUGUUAGAGAACAAGUGGGAGGGUAUACGUGACUACAGCUGGGGUAGUGCGUUUCUGACAACCUUGUAUCGACAUCUUUGCAGAGCAUCCCAGCGAGGUAGAUGGGAGAUCGGCGGUCCCUUGAUUGUGCUUCAGGUAGCCCUUUACUUUCAUACCAUUUUCUACCUAUUACGUACUUAACGGUGGCUAGACUUAACUUGUGUUUGUUUAUUACAAUUAUGGGCUUGGGAGCACAUCCACGUUGGUAGGCCAGCUAAGCCUGCUAGUCGUCGACGCUAGAAGGAGGAAGACGAUCAAGAGCAUGCAUAUGAGGCGCCGCCACUCCCUCCACCAGACUUGGCAUACGGUUGCCGGUGGCUGGUGCGGAGACUUACUCGUGUGCAUGCAACGAGGGGUCUGCCGUAUUACAGAGAUGCAUUCGACAGACUGAGCGAGUCUCAGAUGACGUGGGAUCCGUAUGUCCCUGACCUAGUCAAUGCCAUGCCUCAAUACCUUCGUGAUCAUCAGAUGGAGUGGCGUGUCAUGACAGUUCUCAUCUGUUUUGAGGUAGUGGAGGCUCACCUCCCCGAUAGGGUCAUGCGACAGCUCGGCCUUUGUCAGGCCGUCCCUGCCUCGUGUAACACUAGUGUCCAGUUGCACAGGACAGAUCGACGAGGAAAGGGGGACGUGAACUGGGCAGUUCAGCAUGCCCCUUUCAUUGACAUGUAGGACCAGCGGUUGCAGCACGUCGCGGAUGGUGCGCCUUUCCAAGGCGUGAUGGAGUAUCACGGUCCAUACAUGGUAUGGUACAGGAAAAUUACCCGACGCUUCAUCAACCCUAACUACACCCCACCCUCAACGCAUUACCAGCCAGCUUUUGGAGACAUCAGUGGAUAUGCGUUUGAUAUGCUUGCUAUACAUGACGCAGUGGAAGUCUUGAGCAUAUCAUAUCCCACCAUACCACAGUUGGAUGAAAUUCAGGCAAUGACUGUGAGUAGCUUAUAGAGACAUGGUCAUGGCCACCUUAUCCAGGGUCGGGACCAAUCACACCGCCGUUCACACCGUCUUAGAACUUCUUCUGUUAGUUUGUUGUAAUCAGAUUCUCUAGUACAUUAUAUCCAAACAAAUAUUAUCAAUUUUACUGACCUUUUUAGUUGAUUUUCUGUA
Chenopodium quinoa (quinoa) is the source of this 1607-nucleotide long non-coding RNA. RefSeq lists it as uncharacterized. The transcript has 4 exons. Lineage: Eukaryota; Viridiplantae; Streptophyta; Magnoliopsida; Caryophyllales; Amaranthaceae. The record is from RefSeq and is a predicted model, not a curated record.